CAGCAGCCGCGGUAAUACGGAGGAUCCGAGCGUUAUCCGGAUUUAUUGGGUUUAAAGGGUGCGUAGGUGGCCUGUUAAGUCAGGGGUGAAAGACGGUAGCUUAACUAUCGCAGUGCCCUUGAUACUGAUGGGCUUGAAUGAACUAGAGGUAGGCGGAAUGUGACAAGUAGCGGUGAAAUGCAUAGAUAUGUCACAGAACACCAAUUGCGAAGGCAGCUUACUAUGGUUUUAUUGACACUGAGGCACGAAAGCGUGGGGAUCAAACAGGAUUAGAUACCCCUGUAGUCCCUGUCUCUUAUAC
Molecule: ribosomal RNA, 301 nt
Filed under: uncultured bacterium
Lineage: Bacteria
Description: partial 16S ribosomal RNA
Rfam family: Bacterial small subunit ribosomal RNA
Source: RNAcentral